This is a long non-coding RNA of Dermochelys coriacea (leatherback sea turtle), 150 nucleotides long. RefSeq lists it as uncharacterized. The record is from RefSeq and is a predicted model, not a curated record. The transcript is spliced from 2 exons. Lineage: Eukaryota; Metazoa; Chordata; Testudines; Dermochelyidae.
CCGUAGUUACUGUCCUUUGUUCCAGUUUCUUUCAGGCAUCUCUUGGGGGUGGAGAAGCCAUCUCUUAAACAAGCUGAAGACAAAAUGGAGGGGUUUCCAGGGCCUUUUAUAUUCUUUCUCCUGUGGGCAGAAACCCCUUUGUUCUCCUGU